RNA transcript from Cucumis sativus (cucumber), 2335 nucleotides. It is a transcript of the gene named meiosis-specific protein ASY1, with no coding region annotated. The transcript is spliced from 23 exons. The record is from RefSeq and is a predicted model, not a curated record. Lineage: Eukaryota; Viridiplantae; Streptophyta; Magnoliopsida; Cucurbitales; Cucurbitaceae.
AAAAACUGAAGGCAUCUCUCCCCCUCCUCUUAAGCCCUCGGUAAACCAAUGCCGGUUAAUUUCGUAACCAUGGUUAAGAUUUUUAAUCUUUCUAUAAAACGGUACCUUUCACUUCUUCAUCUCCCGCCAACACUUUAUCAGCACAAUUUCAUUUUCUACUAUUUCAAAAAUUGGAAUCCCAUCUCUGGAAGACAUCUCUCCCCCUCCGCUUCUUCAUUUCCUUUCAAUUACUGAAAAACAUGGUUGUUGCACAGAAGUUGAAGGAAGCAGAGAUCACGGAGCAGGAUUCUCUACUCCUGACGAGGAAUUUACUGCGCAUCGCUAUAUUCAAUAUCAGUUACAUUAGAGGUCUUUUUCCAGAAAAGUAUUUCAACGAUAAGUCAGUUCCUGCUUUAGAGAUGAAGAUCAAGAAGCUUAUGCCGAUGGAUGCAGAGUCUCGGAGAUUGAUUGACUGGAUGGAAAAAGGUGUAUAUGAUGCGCUGCAGCGGAAAUACCUUAAAACGCUUCUCUUCUGCGUAUGCGAGGCGGUGGAAGGGCCAAUGAUUGAGGAAUAUGCUUUUUCUUUCAGCUACUCCAGUUCUGAUAGUCAAGAGGUAUCAAUGAAUGUCACUCGCACUGGAAAUAAGAAACUGGGAGGAACGUUCAAGUGCAACUCCACGGCCGAAAUAACUCCCAACCAGAUGAGGAGUUCUGCCUGUAAGAUGGUCCGCACAUUGGUUCAACUGAUGAGAACAUUGGAUAAGAUGCCCGAUGAGCGCACCAUAUUGAUGAAACUCCUCUACUAUGAUGAUGUUACGCCAGUCGAUUAUGAGCCUCCAUUCUUCAGGAGUUGCACCGAGGAAGAGGGACAUCAUCCCUGGACUAAAAGUCCAUUAAGAAUGGAGGUUGGAAACGUAAACAGCAAGCAUUUUGUUUUAGCUCUCAAAGUAAAGAGCGUGCUUGAUCCAUGUGAGGAUGAAAAUGAUGAUAAUGAUGAGAUUGAAGUUAGCUUAGGAGCUGACUCAGAACAAAGGAACGGGUUUUCUGACACUGACAGUGAGGUUGACCCUUCCCCAGAAGGCGAUUAUAUUGUUGUACCAAGAGAAAAGCUAGAACAACAAGAACAAGAUAAUACUAGCAAAGUUGAUGAAGAUGAUACUCAGGACCCAGAGGAAGAUGAACAGCAGUUAACGAGGGUGAAGGACUGGAUCAAUGGUUACCAAUACGACAAAUUAGAAAUUACUGAUGUUCUUUCAAAUUUUCCGGAUAUUUCGGUUGUUUUAACCGAAGAAAUUAUGGGAAAACUUGUUAACGAAGGUGUUUUAACCAAAACUGGAAGGGAUUCUUACAACAUCGACAGGCAGAAGGCAUUUGACUAUGAAUUCGACUUGGUGAAAGAAGAACAUGAUGGUCAAAUUGACAAAGUUGGUAUCAAUACCACAGCCCACGAUCUCCUGUAUGUGAAGGCUUUAUAUCACACUCUUCAAAUGAGUUAUGUGACGGUUGCAAAACUUCAAAACAAGCUUGAAGGAGAGGCCAGUCUAAGCAAAGUUCGUAAAUUAAUCGAUGAGAUGAUUCGCGAUGGUUUUGUUGAAGCCAAAGGGAGCCGAAGACUGGGCAAACGUGUGAUUCACUCAGAUUUGGCUGAAAAAAAGUUGAAAGAAGUAAAGAAAAUACUGAACUAUGAAGACAUGGAAAUCGAUUCGUAUGGACCAUAUGAAAAGUCCAACAACAAGAUGGAUAUCAACCACAAGGACAUGUCCACUUGCGGUAUCCUCCGUUCAAUUGGAUCAGAUUUAACGCGCAUGAGGGUGACAUCAGACACAAACCAAUAUGGUUCGAAAUCUAAGGACCUUGGAAACACUCCCACAAGCACGCCUGUGCCAGCUGCGUCCAGAGAAAGUUUUGUGCCAGGAAAUGAUAAUAUUAGAGUGAAUGGAAUUGCAAACCACCUUGAUGAGAUGGACUUGGAAAAAUCUACUCAAGAUAAACGAUCUAGAAAGACAAGCACGGUUAAAGAUCCCAUCCUUCAGUACAUAAAGCGACAGAAAUCUCAAGACCAGUGAAAAGCCUGGCUUUAAAUAUCUGACUUGUUCGACCGUAUUCUCUUUAUUCAACCGGUUAUGUUGUGGAAUGUGGAAUACAAUUCCAAGAUUCUUAUUUUGCAACAACCCGACGUUUUCAGGUAGACGAAGAAAUAGACACAGAAUCUAUGAACUUUGAUUUGUUCCGUCUUAGUAAUUGAAUGUUAGUGUUAGAAAAUUUUCAUAUCAUACAGUUUGAACAUUUGACAUUUCAUUAUAAUUCGCUCCCUUUGUUCAUGGCAAUCAAGAAUUUACAACAAAAUCUUUCAACA